CCUAAUCCAAUUCUCAUUUUUCGUUGAAACGCAAAGUUUGAAUCGCUGCCAGAGAGAUCUUCUCUGUGACGACCUUCUCUUACCGAUCUCCUCCGGCGACGACCUUCUCUUACCGAUCUCUUCCGGCGACGAUCUCCUCCAACGACGACCUCAUUCGGCGACUUUUUCCUCAGCGGUGAUCUUCUCUGGUGACCUCUCCUCUAACGACAAUCUCCUCCUGUGAUGGUCUCCUCUAGCGGCAUCUCUUACUGCAAUGAUCUCCUCCGGUGGCAUUCUCCUACGCCGGCAAUCUCAUCCAACGAGCUAAUGUGCUAUGAGAGAUUCUCCUCCCACAAGCUCGCGAAAUACAUGAUAGAUUUUACGAAAUGGCAACUACAACUACUGAGCUAGGGUUUCUGAGGAAGGGAUCGUUGAAACAAUUCAUAAUGAUGACAAUGAUGAAGCGCCCGAUGCUGCGGAGAAUGGAGUUGCGGGAGCAAGAUGACUACGAGGUUGUGAGGAAGGUGGGAAGAGGGAAAUACAGUGAGGUCUUUGAGGGCGUUCACUCCCACCGAUAAUGAAAAAUGCAUCAUCAAGAUCCUCAAACUCGUCAAGAAGAAAAAGUAUACUUUUUCACUUCAUUCCAUCCUCAUAUGGCAAUGAAUGUUGUGCCGGGGCUUCAAUGGACAACUUUGGUCCAGUAGUUUAUUUAGUUUGUUAUUAAAUUUCUAAUUUCAAACCUGUAAGAUUUUACCCUUUCCAAUAUUCUGGUUGUAUAUAUAAGUUUGUACAUCUUAUAAGUUGUUAUUCUGGUUGCAGUUAAAGAGGGAGAUCAAAAUAUUGCAUAAUCUUUGUGGAGGUCCCAAUGUUAUAAAGCUACUUGACAUUGUUAGGGACCAGCAAUCAAAGACCCCAAGCCUUAUAUUUGAAUAUGUCAAUAACACUGAUUUUAAAGUUCUCUACCCCACCCUGUCAGAUUAUGAUAUUCGAUAUUAUAUCUAUGAACUUCUAAAGGUAAGUUUUAUACUCUAUUGGUUGUCUAAGAUCAGCUGUUAUAUCUUAUUUUUGCAGUCAUUAUUUGUUUGACAUAUUUCUAGACAUUAUCUAUGCCAAUGCUUCGUGGAAAAUUUAGUUAUUAUUUUUGUAUUUUUCUUUACGGUGAAAUAUUAGAAAGUGGUUGAGUAAUUGCUGCAUAGCUCUUUGACAGCUUCUUCUACAUUAAUCCUCCGAUAGAUGCAAUUAAAGAAUGAAUUGGUUGAGGUUUGAAAUAGGUUGUAGAGUGGCUUGUAAGGAAGUUGAUUUUGAUUUUUGAAAAUCACUUCCAUUGCUUAUAAAUAAUGCAUAGCAGGAAAAUAGACUUUUUCACUAAAUGCACUUGUAAUAUCAAUAUCUACUAAGUUGAUAUUUAGUCUUUGAAGAUAAUACAAUCAAGGCAAGGAGAUAUUGGGAACUACUACGGUGUUCAGCUUCUUGAUGCUUCAGUGACAAAAUACCAAGAUUAUGGUCACUAACAACUUACUCACCCUCUUGUGAUAUACAUUGGAGAGACACGUGGAGUGGAGGGAUUGGGUGAGAGGUUAGAGCUUAACUGUGUCAGCAAGUUUAGCCAUUGACUUCAUGUGGUAGCUGUCUUGAAGGUUACUUUUCUUUGUCUUAUGCUUUGUUUGUUUAGAAUUGGUCAUUUUUUGUCUUAUUAAUUCCGAUUGACGCAACAAAUUUAAAUUGCAACUUUAGGAAGCUUUCAAACUUCUGCACAACCAAUAAUGUAUCACGUAUACAAUUUUGUUAAUAAAUUAGUAUUUGGAUCAUUUUUGUUAAUAAAUUUUUCAACCAUGAAAAUGGUUAUAUUAUCCAUUUUAAAUUAUACGAUGAGACAAUUUAGUUUUCCAAACAAGUAACAGCCAAGCUAAACCAUUGCUUGUGUUAUACAAUGCUUCAUUUUGCAGGUAACUAAUUCGGCUAUCUAUAUCAUGUUAAAAAAUCAUAAGGCUAAUGUCCAAGACUCUUCUGAUCUACAAAAUUGUUAAUAGGAAAGGGUCAAAGUUCCCUUCAAAUCUGAAGGGAAGGGAAACUUCAGAACAGUGAGCUUCAAGUUCAAAGCAGUUGCACCAAGAACAAGACUCACAUUUUACAGCUCCUUUUACCAUACCAGAAUUGAUGAUUAUGGAUCUCUCUGUGGCCCUGUUCUUGACCAGAGUUAGCUUUUUAAGAAGCAAUGAACAUUGAAUCAUGACGGUGUAUCACGGUGUAGUGCAGGGAGGUAGUCUGAGAUCAAACGGCUCUCCUUUUCAUCACACUCGUAUCGUACCUCUGUCGAUCUUAAGGACAAGUGGAGCAAUUUCCUCAAGGCUAGCUUUGCUCAGGCACCUGCAAAUGAAGGGAUGAACGUGCGGAAGCAUGGUACAACGCCAAUCCUGGAACCGAUUUUGCUACGAGUACGAGAGAUUAAAAAGGGGGCUGCUUCCGUGGAAGGAGUAGAAGCAAAAUUCUAGCAGGUACCUGUGAAACACUGCCUGAAGAGGUACUUGGGAAGAUGGGAGCACCUCCAAAGAGUGAUGUGCCGAUUAUUACACCCAAUGAGCUACCUGAGGUUGCUGGUUUAUUGCUUGGAUUUCCAACGAGAUUUGGACUCAUGGCUGCUCAGUUUAAGGCAUUCUUGGAUGCAACUGGAGGCCUAUGGUGUACACAGGCACUAGCAGGAAAGCCUGCUGGAAUUUUUUACAGCACCGAUUCUCAAGGAGGCAGACAGGAAACCACCCCAUAAUAUUUAUUCACACGGACAUGAACAAUGAAAAUGUUGGAAGGGUCUGUUGCAAACUUUUUGAGCAUCUCUAGGAAAACUCCCAAUGUAAUAGAACUAAUAAUAUUUCUUAGUUUGAUAUUUUGUAUAGGAAUUAUUACUUUUGAUUUGCAAUACUAAAAAAGUAUAUAUUAUGUUUAAUACUGAGUUAAAUAAUAUUUUGUCUAUGAA
This is a non-coding RNA of Arachis ipaensis, 2950 nucleotides long. The record is from RefSeq and is a predicted model, not a curated record. NCBI's taxonomy places the organism in Eukaryota, Viridiplantae, Streptophyta, Magnoliopsida, Fabales, Fabaceae.